Molecule: long non-coding RNA, 683 nt
Organism: Populus trichocarpa (black cottonwood)
Lineage: Eukaryota; Viridiplantae; Streptophyta; Magnoliopsida; Malpighiales; Salicaceae
Exons: 3
Source: RefSeq, a predicted model, not a curated record
UUCCCACUCUCUACUCUCCACUUUUACUAAUUGUCUGCUGAAUAUUUAAGAUCUGAAAUUCUGAAUUUAAUUAUCUCCAAUCUCCACUUUUCACUCUCCACUCUCUCAGCGCCUCUGGUUUUGCUUGCUAGCGAGAAUAAGUGGCUGAAGAAAAUGAGGAACAACAUGACAGAGAUCAAUCAGUGGUGGGAUACUGGGAUGAAAUUAUAAUGCCUGCAGACGAAGAGCCACUGCAUGAAAAUCAUGAAGAAGAUGGUAAAAUCACUGAACUAGAGAGCACUAAUGCAAUCAAGUGAUGCAGUGACAGGUUGUGAAGAAUCUGUGACGACAAGAGAACUGGGGAAUGCUUGAUGAUACAUUGCAAAUGUCUUUGUGACAAAGGCUAUCAGAUUCUUCUCCCUAUAAGAAACUGUUACUGCAAACUUAUGUAGAUCAUGACAGAUUAUUGGUCCAAAAUCCUGAUAUCAAGUACUAAUAUACUUUUUUAUUUGUACUGCUUGUUCAUUCUUUAGGCUUUCCAUCUUCUUUUUAUCUGCAAGAUUCUUUGAGUUGCAGUGCUAACCCUUCAUAUAUAGUCAUAAGUUUCUUUUCUUGAGAAGUUUAGCAUAAUGGAGAGUAGAUGUUGUAUGAACCUUGCUGGAAUUCAUAGAUAUGAUUGUUAAUCAAAUAAUUUUUCUGCUUCA